CCGCAACGAGCGCAACCCUUAUCCUUUGUUGCCAGCGAUUCGGUCGGGAACUCAAAGGAGACUGCCGGUGAUAAACCGGAGGAAGGUGGGGAUGACGUCAAGUCAUCAUGGCCCUUACGAGUAGGGCUACACACGUGCUACAAUGGCGCAUACAAAGAGAAGCGACCUCGCGAGAGCAAGCGGACCUCACAAAGUGCGUCGUAGUCCGGAUCGGAGUCUGCAACUCGACUCCGUGAAGUCGGAAUCGCUAGUAAUCGUGGAUCAGAAUGCCACGGUGAAUACGUUCCCGGGCCUUGUACACACCGCCCGUCACACCAUGGGAGU
RNAcentral lists this ribosomal RNA (324 nucleotides) under Pantoea sp. FL-2020a. RNAcentral's name for it is "bacterial SSU rRNA". It matches the Rfam family "Bacterial small subunit ribosomal RNA", at positions 1087 to 1411 of the family's 1533-position model. Lineage: Bacteria; Pseudomonadati; Pseudomonadota; Gammaproteobacteria; Enterobacterales; Erwiniaceae. The record is from RNAcentral.